UAUCUUUGAGUGCACUCGGCCUUUUCCACGU
This 31-nucleotide non-coding RNA is filed under the name Mus musculus (house mouse). Lineage: Eukaryota; Metazoa; Chordata; Mammalia; Rodentia; Muridae. The record is from RNAcentral.